UGGGGAAUAUUGCACAAUGGGCGAAAGCCUGAUGCAGCAACGCCGCGUGAGGGACGACGGCCUUCGGGUUGUAAACCUCUUUAGCAAGGAAGAAGCGAAAGUGACGGUACUUGCAGAAAAAGCGCCGGCUAACUACGUGCCAGCAGCCGCGGUAAUACGUAGGGCGCAAGCGUUAUCCGGAAAUUAUUGGGGCGUAAAGAGCUCGUAGGCGGUUUGUCGCGUCUGCUGUGAAAACCCGAGGCUCAACCUCGGGCCUGCAGUGGGUACGGGCAGACUAGAGUGCGGUAGGGGAGAUUGGAAGCUCCUGGUGUAGCGGUGGAAUGCGCAGAUAUCAGGAAGAACACCGAUGGCGAAGGCAGAUCUCUGGGCCGUAACUGACGCUGAGGAGCGAAAGGGUGGGGACAAAAGCAGGCUUAGAAUACCCUGGUAGUCCACCCCGUAAACGUUGGGAACUAGUUGUGGGGUCCAUUCCACGGAUUCCGUGGACGCAGCUAACGCAUU
This 501-nucleotide ribosomal RNA is filed under the name uncultured bacterium. RNAcentral describes it as "partial 16S ribosomal RNA". It matches the Rfam family "Bacterial small subunit ribosomal RNA", at positions 355 to 861 of the family's 1533-position model. The record is from RNAcentral.